GGCUGAGUUUCAAAGAAAAAGAUCUUUGCAUAUUUUGCUAUUCGCUCCAGUUGUGCUCACCCUUUUCCACGGCAAUUGCACAGAGACUAACUUUUAAUUAGCUUCAAAGCUGUGUGAUAUCGUCAGGAGCAGCCAAUGCAGCUAUUGGGCUUCCUUCGUUUGUGGGAAAGACAUGAAAAAUAUGCAGAAUAAACUGUGCAGCUCUCCAUAAGGGAGGGAAAGUAACAGUCCAAUUUUAUGUAGAGGCAAGUUUUCUGCAACUUUGUUUUUGGUGAGAAAAGGGAAGAAGAAAGGAAACAAAGAGAGAAGACGAGGAGAAAAGAAGCAUUUAUUACACUAUAAUGAGGCUCUGGAAAUCUCUGGACUCGUUGUCAGGAAGCAGGAGCUGGAGGCUCAGAAGGAAUACACUGUGCAGGCUGUCAGCAUGGAGACACUGAGCUCAACUUCAC
RNAcentral lists this long non-coding RNA (449 nucleotides) under Gallus gallus (chicken). The record is from RNAcentral. Lineage: Eukaryota; Metazoa; Chordata; Aves; Galliformes; Phasianidae.